RNAcentral lists this ribosomal RNA (406 nucleotides) under uncultured bacterium. Its description in RNAcentral is "partial 16S ribosomal RNA". It matches the Rfam family "Bacterial small subunit ribosomal RNA", at positions 30 to 526 of the family's 1533-position model. The record is from RNAcentral.
AUUGAACGCUGGCGGCAGGCUUAACACAUGCAAGUCGAGCGAGCGGCGGACGGGUGAGUAAUGUCUGGGAAACUGCCUGAUGGAGGGGGAUAACUACUGGAAACGGUAGCUAAUACCGCAUACCCUCAGAUGUGCCCAGUUGGGAUUAGCUAGUAGGUGGGGUAAUGGCUCACCUAGGCGACGAUCCCUAGCUGGUCUGAGAGGAGGACCAGCCACACUGGAACGGUGAAACGGUCCAGACUCCUACGGGAGGCAGAAGGGGGGAAUAUUGCAAAAUGGGCGCAAGCCUGAUGCAGCCAUACCGCGGGUGUGAAGAAGGCCUUCGGGUUGUAAAGCACUUUAAGCGAGGAGGCGUUACUCGCAGAAGAAGCACCGGCUAACUCCGUGCCAGCAGCCGCGGUAAUAC